This is a long non-coding RNA of Gracilinanus agilis (Agile Gracile Mouse Opossum), 257 nucleotides long. RefSeq lists it as uncharacterized. The record is from RefSeq and is a predicted model, not a curated record. NCBI's taxonomy places the organism in Eukaryota, Metazoa, Chordata, Mammalia, Didelphimorphia, Didelphidae. The transcript is spliced from 3 exons.
CCCACGCUGAGGGAGACCCGGGCUGCCUGCGGCUGGGCAGAGGAGGGAGUCUCAUCCAGUCGGGGUCUGGGACUCUACCUAUAAGAAAGAAAAGAAGUGUUAAGUUGAUGAAGCCAAGGGCCCAAGUUGGAGGGGAGAAGCUACUCAAUUGAGAGUCCAUCCAGAGGACAGACUAAGGACAAAACAUAAACAAAUGGCAUAGACAUAGAGGGUUACAAACAAAAGCCACCUUCAAGCAGAAGUGACCCCCCCCACCA